Long non-coding RNA from Oncorhynchus nerka (sockeye salmon), 1862 nucleotides. RefSeq lists it as uncharacterized. Lineage: Eukaryota; Metazoa; Chordata; Actinopteri; Salmoniformes; Salmonidae. The transcript has 2 exons. The record is from RefSeq and is a predicted model, not a curated record.
AAGGUUGAAGCGUUUCGGGUGCCAUGCAUGUGAUUAAUUAUUAAUGAUCUGAAAGAUGACAUCUGUAUACUAACAUGCAAGUCAACCUGACUGGAAUGAGUGAUUAUGUUUAAUGAUGCAAGACACAAUGCCACCUGAAUGACUGCGUGAUACAUUUGUACCUAAAUGUUUAAGAUCUCUAUAUAUCUGUUAGCCUAAUCUUACUUGAACAUUAGUGAAUUGUGUACUGAUUUGGAAGAUUAGACUAUGUUGAUUCAUCCAUAUUAACCCUUUCAUGCGUGAGUUUCAAAUAUCUCUAACGGUCGCCCCAGCGUGAGUUUUUUUAUGCACGUGAUGUUAGAAUGUUCUCUCCAUUCCAGAAUGUGAUUGAUACGUAACAGUACAUUUUAUCCGCGCUGCCCUCAAACUAAAGCACGCAGCCUGUUUAUAUUUAUAGGUUGUUUUAACUUCAAUUUCAAAUGAUUUUCAAACAAGUUUUUAUUUUCUAAAAACAGUUUGAAUUUAGGUGUGUUACGCCUCCUCAUUCAUUCACAUAAAAAUAGUCAUUUUUACUUUUGCGAAUAAUUACAUUUUUGGGACAUUUCUGACACGGACAAAAUUCCCCAAGCACUACCCAAUUGUUUGUGCAGUUCACGUCUGCAGACAUUUGCUCAUCUCCCGUCAGAACAGGAUCUGCACACGUGUUCACAUUUUCUAUUCCACAUUUCUAUUGUAGCGUACUGUAUGUAUGGAGCAUAAUAUAUUUGUGUAUAUUCUUUAUCACCGCGGACACGUGAGGUAACGUUACUCAUUUUAUAACCUUUAUGGUGUUAUAGUCAAUCGUGCUUACGUAGCCACAUUCUUCUAUUAGCUCUGUAAAACAAUGCUAAAUGCGUCAGAGAAGUAUUAUCUUGUGUUGCAUUUUGAAGCUACCAUGGCCUUACGACUCUCAAGUGGUGCAGCGGUCAAAGGCACAGCACAUCAGUACUAGAGGCGUCACUACAGACUCCCUGGUUCAAAUCCAGGCUGCGUUUCCAUCAAACUACCCUGGCCUUAUGACUUCCAAGUGGCGCAGCGGUCUAUGGCACUACAGACACCCUGGUUCAAAUCCAGGCUGUAUCACAACUGGCUGUGAUUGGGCGUCCCAUAUUGCAGCGCACAAUUGGCCCAGCGUUGUCCGAGUUUGGCCGGUGUAGGCCAUCAUUGUAAAUACUAAUUUGUUCUUAAAUUACUUGCCUAGUUAAAUAAAUAAAAGAUAUGACCAUGGUUUGUUUAUUUGGUCUAUUCAGCAUAGCUCUGUUCUGCCCUGCCUUGCCCCCUUGUGGAGCUCAAAAGUUAAUUUCUUACUGUUAUAACUCAAAUCUGUGAUUUUGUCAAUGCAAUAAACUAUUUUUUUUAUAGCAGUGUUUAUUAUGUUACUUCUUUGUAGUAUUGUUUUAUUGCUAUAUCCUUAUAUUGUAUUCUAAUGAAUAAUUCCUCUUUAUUCUGUACUUUCAGAAACAUUAUUUGUCAAUAUCAUAACUGGAGCUGGACAUCUUUGGAGCUGAAGAAUGAGGACAGCUUUUGUAUGCUAACGUACACUCCUUAACAGUUGUACUGGAUGAAAACACAGCAAGAAAACACAUAUGCCAAUAUGUAAUAUUAAUCUAUUUUAUUGCAGUACUGGUAGUUGGUUCAACAACUUGUUUUACUAGAGGACAAAAAACUGAAUAUGCAUAACCCAUAUUUAAUAUCCAUGCAGUGACUGAACAACAACUGCAUUUCCACCCCCAUCUCUAAGGCAUAUUAUCAUGGCUGCAACAACACUGAAUGGCGCAGAGUGGGAGGUUACGUGGUUGACUGCCGGCACGCGCUACUUGUAUCAAUAAAUCACUAUCAGAAAA